CUUUUGGUUCCAUAAGACUAAGAGAACUUACACAGAUGGCCGUGAACCAGGAACAUAGAUUCAGUUGGAGACAUCAGUAGGCAGGUGCAAAGGGUGUGCAGGCGAUUUCCAUUGGUCUCAGGUGCUAUCUAACGACAUUCUUCUCAGCGUUCAGAUUGGUGGAAGCCAGUGGCCUGAAGAACCAAAUUGCACAGGACCGAAGUGGACUCUGGCAACACCUUGGAGGAAGAAAAAAAAAGCCAUGCAUGUUUCAAGGUUCCAAGCACAAGGAAUUUUUCCAAUUUAAUUUUCAGCUCUCUCCACAGAUGGUUCCUUAUCUUUCUGUAUCUCCUGCACCCAGCAUAGGAUUGUGUGCUUCAGAAGAACAGCAUACAUAUUUAUAGGAUCAGUUCAAGCUUCUAAGCACAGUAGAUAAAGUGAUGAACAAGACAGAUGACUAUCUGCCCUUGUGGUCCAUACACUCAGCUGGGAAGUCCUGGUAAACAAAAGUCACGGAGGGGUAUGUACAGCCUCUCC
This 516-nucleotide long non-coding RNA is filed under the name Mus caroli (Ryukyu mouse). Its description in RNAcentral is "predicted gene, 39075 (MGP_CAROLIEiJ_G0006609.1)". The record is from RNAcentral. Lineage: Eukaryota; Metazoa; Chordata; Mammalia; Rodentia; Muridae.